This 490-nucleotide ribosomal RNA is filed under the name uncultured bacterium. RNAcentral describes it as "partial 16S ribosomal RNA". It matches the Rfam family "Bacterial small subunit ribosomal RNA", at positions 28 to 507 of the family's 1533-position model. The record is from RNAcentral.
GAUGUACGCUAGCUACAGGCUUAACACAUGCAAGUCGAGGGGCAGCAUGGUCUUAGCUUGCUAAGGCCGAUGGCGACCGGCGCACGGGUGAGUAACACGUAUCCAACCUGCCGUCUACUCUUGGACAGCCUUCUGAAAGGAAGAUUAAUACAAGAUGGCAUCAUGAGUUCACAUGUUCACAUGAUUAAAGGUAUUCCGGUAGACGAUGGGGAUGCGUUCCAUUAGAUAGUAGGCGGGGUAACGGCCCACCUAGUCUUCGAUGGAUAGGGGUUCUGAGAGGAAGGUCCCCCACAUUGGAACUGAGACACGGUCCAAACUCCUACGGGAGGCAGCAGUGAGGAAUAUUGGUCAAUGGGCGAGAGCCUGAACCAGCCAAGUAGCGUGAAGGAUGACUGCCCUAUGGGUUGUAAACUUCUUUUAUAAAGGAAUAAAGUCGGGUAUGUAUACCCGUUUGCAUGUACUUUAUGAAUAAGGAUCGGCUAACUCCGUG